UACAGAGGUCUCAAGCGUUGUUCGGAUUCAUUGGGCGUAAAGGGCGCGUAGGCGGCGGGGUAAGUCUGGUGUGAAAUCUCGGAGCUCAACUCCGAAAUUGCACUGGAUACUGCUCUGCUAGAGGGCUGGAGAGGAGAUCGGAAUUCACGGUGUAGCGGUGAAAUGCGUAGAUAUCGUAAGGAAGACCAGUGGCGAAGGCGGGUCUCUGGACAGUUCCUGACGCUGAGGCACGAAGGCCAGGGGAGCAAACGGG
This 253-nucleotide ribosomal RNA is filed under the name uncultured bacterium. RNAcentral describes it as "partial 16S ribosomal RNA". It matches the Rfam family "Bacterial small subunit ribosomal RNA", at positions 524 to 776 of the family's 1533-position model. The record is from RNAcentral.